This 451-nucleotide ribosomal RNA is filed under the name uncultured bacterium. RNAcentral's name for it is "partial 16S ribosomal RNA". It matches the Rfam family "Bacterial small subunit ribosomal RNA", at positions 29 to 523 of the family's 1533-position model. The record is from RNAcentral.
AACGAACGCUGGCGGCAGGCUUAACACAUGCAAGUCGAACGGGUGUAGCAAUACAUCAGUGGCAGACGGGUGAGUAACACGUGGGAACCUUCCUAGGGGUACGGAACAACUCAGGGAAACUUGAGCUAAUACCGUAUACGUCCGUGAGGAGAAAGAUUUAUCGCCCUUAGACGGGCCCGCGUCGGAUUAGGUAGUGGGUGGGGUAACGGCCUACCAAGCCUACGAUCCGUAGCUGAUCUUAGAGGAUGAUCAGCCACACUGGGACUGAGACACGGCCCAGACUCCUACGGGAGGCAGCAGUGGGGAAUCUUGGACAAUGGGCGCAAGCCUGAUCCAGCCAUGCCGCGUGAGUGAAGAAGGCCUUAGGGUUGUAAAGCUCUUUUACCAGGGACGAUAAUGACGGUACCUGGAGAAUAAGCCCCGGCAAACUUCGUGCCAGCCGCCGCUGUAA